Molecule: non-coding RNA, 30 nt
Filed under: Rattus norvegicus (Norway rat)
Lineage: Eukaryota; Metazoa; Chordata; Mammalia; Rodentia; Muridae
Source: RNAcentral
UUCGAGGUGAUCAGAAAGCCACGUUGCUGU